Long non-coding RNA from Pipra filicauda (Wire-tailed manakin), 400 nucleotides. RefSeq lists it as uncharacterized. The transcript is spliced from 3 exons. The record is from RefSeq and is a predicted model, not a curated record. Lineage: Eukaryota; Metazoa; Chordata; Aves; Passeriformes; Pipridae.
ACCCUAAGUGGAGUUAGAAUUAAGAAAAAUUUGUCACAGAAGAGACGUGCCUGUGUUUCCUUGGAAAACCAAAUUAUUUCCUAUGGAUGUGAUAGAUGGUGAUGCAAAAAUCUGUUCCUUAAGAAACUUUGGAAAUGUCGCUUGGAGCUGGACUUGGAUCCUUCUCACUGGAACAGUCGUCACUCCACUGCCCAGAGGAAAAAGGAGAUAGGAUGUCAUGAGACAGCCCAGGGGAUCCACAGCUCUGCCUAAGCCACCGUGGCCAAAUAGCUGUGAGUUAUAAUUAACUCUGGCUCCCAGGAAUCCUCAGAGUCUGAGGCAAUAACACACCUCCUACCUGGGAAUCCCAACCAGUGGUCGUUUGUCUCUGUAAUUGAAGUUUUGCUCCAGAGCUCUUCAC